GAUGAACGCUGGCGGCGUGCCUAAUACAUGCAAGUCGAGCGAACGGACGAGAAGCUUGCUUCUCUGAUGUUAGCGGCGGACGGGUGAGUAACACGUGGAUAACCUACCUAUAAGACUGGGAUAACUUCGGGAAACCGGAGCUAAUACCGGAUGAUAUUUUGAACCGCAUGGUUCAAAAGUGAAAGACGGUCUUGCUGUCACUUAUAGAUGGAUCCGCGCUGCAUUAGCUAGUUGGUAAGGUAAUGGCUUACCAAGGCAACGAUGCAUAGCCGACCUGAGAGGGUGAUCGGCCACACUGGAACUGAGACACGGUCCAGACUCCUACGGGAGGCAGCAGUAGGGAAUCUUCCGCAAUGGGCGAAAGCCUGACGGAGCAACGCCGCGUGAGUGAUGAAGGUCUUCGGAUCGUAAAACUCUGUUAUUAGGGAAGAACAUAUGUGUAAGUAACUGUGCACAUCUUGACGGUACCUAAUCGGAAAGCCACGGCUAACUACGUG
RNAcentral lists this ribosomal RNA (497 nucleotides) under uncultured bacterium. RNAcentral describes it as "partial 16S ribosomal RNA". It matches the Rfam family "Bacterial small subunit ribosomal RNA", at positions 28 to 507 of the family's 1533-position model. The record is from RNAcentral.